CUGUCAAUCACUAUCUUAUCUGGAAGAUUAACUCCCACUUGAUUCAAGCGAUUGUAGUACUCAGACAAUCUGGGCACAUGCUCACUAGUUGAGCGAUUCUCCUCCAUCUUUUAGCUAUAAAACUUGUUGGAGACUUCAUAUCUCUCAACUCGGGUAUUUGCUUGAAAUAUUAACUUCAACUCCUGGAACAUCUCAUAUGCUCCAUGACGUUCAAAACGUCUUUGAAGUCCCGAUUCUAAGCCAUUAAGCAUGGUGCACUAAACUAUCAAGUAGUCAUCAUAUUGAGCUAGCCAAACGUUCAUGACGUCUGCAUCUACUCCUGCAAUAGGUCCAUCACCUAGCGGUGCAUCAAGGACAUAAUUCUUCUGUGCAGCAAUGAGGAUAAACCUCAGAUCACGGAUCCAAUCCGCAUCAUUGCUACUAACAUCUUUCAACACAAUUUUCUCUAGGAACAUAUCAAAAUAAACACAGGGAAGCAACAACGCGAGCUAUUGAUCUACAACAUAAUUUGCAAAAUACUACCAGGACUAAGUUCAUGAUAAAUUUAAGUUCAGUUAAUAAUAUUACUUAAGAACUCCCACUUAGAUAGACAUCCCUCUAAUCCUCUAAGUGAUUACGUGAUCCAAAUCAACUAAACCAUGUCCGAUCAUCACGUGAGAUGGAGUUGUUUCAUUGGUGAACAUCACUAUGUUGAUCAUAUCUACUAUAUGAUUCACGCUCGACCUUUCGGUCUCCGUGUUCCGAGGCCAUAUCUGUAUAUGCUUGGCUCGUCAAGUAUAACCUGAGUAUUCCGCGUGUGCAACUGUUUUGCACCCGUUGUAUUUGAACGUAGAGCCUAUCACACCCGAUCAUCACGUGGUGUCUCAGCACGAAGAACUUUCGCAACGGUGCAUACUUAGGGAGAACACUUCUUGAUAAUUUAGUGAGAGAUCAUCUUAUAAUGCUACCGUCAAUCUAAGCAAGAUAAGAUGCAUAAAAGAUAAACAUCACAUGCAAUCAAUAUAAGUGAUAUGAUAUGGCCAUCAUCAUCUUGUGCUUGUGAUCUCCAUCUUUGAAGCACCUUCGUGAUCACCAUCGUCAUCGGCGCGACACCUUGAUCUCCAUCGUAGCAUCGUUGUCGUCUCGCCAAUCUUAUGCUUCCACGACUAUCGCUGCCACUUAGUGAUAAAGUAAAGCAUUACAGCGCGAUUGCAUUGCAUACAAUAAAGCGACAACCAUAUGGCUCCUGCCAGUUGCCGAUAACUCGGUUACAAAACAUGAUCAUCUCAUACAAUAAAAUUUAGCAUCAUGUCUUGACCAUAUCACAUCACAACAUGCCCUGCAAAAACAAGUUAGACGUCCUCUACUUUGUUGUUGCAAGUUUUACGUGGCUGCUAUGGGCUUAAGCAAGAACCAAUCUUACCUACGCAUCAAAACCACAAUGAUAGUUUGUUAAGUUGGUGCUGUUUUAACCUUCGCAAGGACCGGGCGUAGCCACACUCGGUUCAACUAAAGUUGGAGAAACUGUCACCCGCUAGCCACCUUUGUGCAAAGCACGUCGGGAGAACCGGUCUCGCGUAAGCGUAUGCGUAAUGUCGGUCCGGGCCGCUUCGUCCAACAAUACCGCCGAACCAAAGUAUGACAUGCUGGUAAGCAGUAUGACUUAUAUCGCCCACAACUCACUUGUGUACUACUCGUGCAUAUAACAUCAACAUAUAUAACCUAGGCUCGGAUGCCACUGUUGGGGAACGUAGUAAUUUCAAAAAAAUUCCUACGCACACGCAAGAUCAUGGUGAUGCAUAGCAACGAGAGGGGGAGAGUGAGAUCUACGUACCCUUGUGGAUCGACAACGGAAGCGUUAACUUGGUUGAUGUAAUCGUACGUCUUCACGGCCCGACCGAUCAAGCACCGAAACUACGGCACCUCCGAGUUCUAGCACACGUUCAGCUCGAUGACGAUUCUCGGACUCCGAUACAGCAAAGUGUCAGGGAAGAGUUCCGUCAGCACGACGGCGUGGUGACGAUCUUGAUGUACUACUGUCGCAGGGCUUCGCCUAAGCACCGCUACAAUAUUAUCGAGGACUAUGGUGGAAGGGGGCACCGCACACGGCUAAGAAUAUGAUCACGUGGAUCAACUUGUGUGUCUAGGGGUGCCCCUUGCCUCCGUAUAUAAAGGAUCCAAGGGGGGGUGCGGCCGUCCCUAGUAGGAGGCGCGCAGGAGGAGUCCUACUCCUACCGGGAGUAGGACUCCCCUCCCUUUCCUUGUCCAAGUAGGAGAGGGGGAAGGAGAGAAGGAAAAGGGGGGGCGCCGCCGCUCCCUCCUUGUUCAAUUCGGACUAGGGUGAGAGGGGGCGCGCGGCCUUCCCUGGCAGCCCCUCCUCUUCUCCACUUUAGGCCCAUGAGGCCCAUUAACCCCCCGGGGGGUUCCGGUAACCCCCCGGUGCUCCGGUUUUAUCCGAAACUUCCCCGGAACACUUCCGGUGUCCGAAUAUAGCCGUCCAAUAUAUCAAUCUUUAUGUCUCGACCAUUUCGAGACUCCUCGUCAUGUCCGUGAUCACAUCCGGGACUCCGAACUAACUUUGGUACAUCAAAACUCAUAAACUCAUAAUAUAACUGUCAUCGAAACCUUAAGCGUGCGGACCCUACGGGUUUGAGAACAAUGUAGACAUGACCGAGACACAUCUCCGGUCAAUAACCAAUAGCGGAACCUGGAUGCUCAUAUUGGCUCCUACAUAUUCUACGAAGAUCUUUAUCGGUCAGACCGCAUAACAACAUACGUUGUUCCCUUUGUCAUCGGUAUGUUACUUGCCCGAGAUUCGAUCGUCCGUAUCUCAAUACCUAGUUCAAUCUCGUUACUGGCAAGUCUCUUUACUCGUUCUAUAAUACAUCAUCUCGCAACUAACUCAUUAGUUGCAAUGCUUGCAAGGCUUAUGUGAUGUGCAUUACUGAGAGGGCCCAGAGAUACCUCUCCGACAAUCGGAGUGACAAAUCCUAAUCUCGAAAUAUGCCAACCCAACAUGCACCUUUGGAGACACCUAUAGAGCACCUUUAUAAUCACCCAUUUACGUUGUGACGUUUGCUAGCACACAAAGUGUUCCUCCGGCAAACGGGAGUUGCAUAAUCUCAUAGUCAUAGGAACAUGUAUAAGUCAUGAAGAAAGCAAUAGCAACAUACUAAACGAUCGGGUGCUAAGCUAAUGGAAUGGGUCAUGUCAAUCAGAUCAUUCACCUAAUGAUGUGAUCCCUUAAUCAAAUAACAACUCUUUGUCCAAGGUUAGGAAACAUAACCAUUUUUGAUUAACGAGCUAGUCAAGUAGAGGCAUACUAGUGACACUCUGUUUGUCUAUAUAUUCACACAUGUAUUAUGUUUCCGGUUAAUACAAUUCUAGCAUGAAUAAUAAACAUUUAUCAUGAUAUAAGGAAAUAAAUAAUAACUUUAUUAUUGCCUCUAGGGCAUAUUUCCUUCACUUUCAACUUAGUUUUAUCUAGGAACAUAUCAAAAAUAAACGGGGAGCUAGAUCGCGAGCUAUUGAUAUACAACAUAAUUUGCAAAUACUAACAGGACUAAGUUCAUGAUAAAUUAAGGUUCAAUUAAUCAUAUUACUUAAGAACUCCCACUUAGAUAGACAUCCCUCUAGUCAUCUAAAUGAUCACGUGAUCCAUAUCAACUAAACCAUGUCCGAUCAUCAUGUGAGAUGGAGUAGUUUUCAAUGGUGAACAUCACUAUGUUGAUCAUAUCUACUAUAUGAUUCACGCUCGACCUUUCGGUCUCAGUGUUCCGAGGCCAUAUCUGCAUAUGCUAGGCUCGUCAAGUUUAACCCGACUAUUCUGCGUGUGCAAAACUGGCUUGCACCCGUUGUAUGUGAACAUAGAGCUUAUCACACCCGAUCAUCAUGUGGUGUCUCGGCACGAAGAACUAUAGCAAUGGUUCAUACUCAGGGAGAACACUUGUACCUUGAAAUUUAGUGAGGGAUCAUCUUAUAAUUCUACCGCCAUACUAAGCAAAAUAAGAUGCAUAAAGGAUAAACAUCACAUGAAAUCAAUAUAAGUGAUAUGAUAUGGCCAUCAUCAUCUUGUGCCUUUGAUCUCCAUCUCCAAAGCAUCGUCAUGAUCACCAUCGUCACCGGCUUGACACCUUGAUCUCCAUCAUAGCAUCGUUGUCGUCUCGCCAACUAUUGCUUCUACGACUAUCGCUACCGCUUAGUGAUAAAGUAAAGCAAUUACAUGGCGAUUGCAUUUCAUACAAUAAAGCGACAACCAUAAGGCUCCUGCCAGUUGCCGAUAACGGUUACAAAACAUGAUCAUCUCAUACAACAAUCUAUAUCUCAUCACGUCUUGACCAUAUCACAUCACAACAAGCCUUGCAAAAACAAGUUAGACGUCCUCUACUUUGUUGUUGCAAGUUUUACGUGGCUGCUACGGGCUUCUAGUAAGAACCUACUUACCUACGAAUCAAAACCACAACGAUUUUUCGUCAAGUGUGUUGUUUUAACCUUCAACAAGGACCGGGCGUAGUCAAACUCGAUUCACCUAAAGUUGGAGAAACAGACACCCGCCAGCCACCUGUGUGUAAAGCACGUCAGUAGAACCAGUCUCAUGAACGCGUUCAUGUAAUGUUAGUCUGGGCUGCUUCAUCCAACAAUACCGCCGAAUCAAAGUAAGAUGUUGCUAGUAAGCAGUAUAACUAUUAUCGCCCACAACUCUUUGUAUUAUACUCGUGCAUAUAACAUCUAUGCUUAGACCUGGAUCGGAUGCCACUGUUGGGGAACGUAGAAUGCAAUUUCAAAAAAAUUCCUACGAUCACGCAAGAUCUAUCUAGGAGAUGCAUAGCAACGAGAGGGGAGAGUGUGUCUACGUACCCUCGUAGACCAAAAGCGGAAGCGUUUGUCAACGCGGUUGAUGUAGUCGUACACCUUCACGAUCCGUCCCGAUCAAGUACCGAAUGUACGACACCUCCACGUUCAGCACACGUUCAGCUCGAUGACUUCCUCGCCUUCUAGAUCCAGCAAGAGGGGCGAAGUAGUAGAUGAGUUCCGGCAGCACGACGACGUGGUGACGAUGUUGGUGAAGAACAAUCUCCGCAGGGCUUCGCCAGGCACAACAGAAACUAUGACGGAGGAUAAACUAGAGGGACGGGGUUGCCGGCACACGGCUUGGUGUUUCUUGAUGUGUUCCAGGUGCUAGCCCUGCCCCUCUAUUUAUAUGUUGAACCCUCGGGUCGAAACUUGGAGUAAAAGCCUCCUCAAAGUCAGUUUUGCCCGCAAGGGAGAGUCCUACUCGGACUUCCAGGACCAGACGCCAUAGUCCUUGGCGUCUGGCCUAGACGCCAUGGGCCUCAGCAUCUGGCCCUGGGCCAGACACCAGGGUCUCCGGCUUUUGGCCCCCUGGCCUCCGCAAAACUCCUUUUACACCUACCUAAAGCCUUGUGGGCUUCACCCCUUGGCCGAACCAUAACAUCCUAUAUAUAUAUCAAUCUUUACCUCCAUUGCUCCUCGUCAUGUCCGUGAUCUCAUCCGGGACUCUGAACAACAUCCGGUCACCAAAAUACAUAACUCAUAUAGUACUAUAUCGUCAAUGAACGUUAAGUGUGCGGACCCUACGGGUUCGAGAACUAUGUAGACAUGACCGAGACACCUCUCUGGUCAAUAACCAAUAGCAGAACCUGGAUGCCCAUAUUGGUUCCUACAUAUUGUACGAAGAUCUUUAUCAGUCGAACCUUAUGACAACAUAUGUUAUUCCCUUUGUCAUCGGUAUGUUACUUGCCCGAGAUUCGAUCGUCGGUAUCCUCAUACUUAGUUCAAUCUCAUUAUCGGCAAGUCUCUUUACUCGUUCCGUAAUACAUCACCCCGCAACUAACUCAUUAGUCACAUUGCUUGCAAAGCUUAUAGUGAUGAGCAUUACCGAGAGGGCCCAGAGAUACCUCUCCGAUACACGGAGUGAAAAAUCCUAAUCUUGAUCUAUGCCAACUCAACAAACACCAUCGUAGACACAGGUAGAGCAUCUUUAUAAUCACCCAGUUACGAUGUGACGUUUGAUAGCACACAAAGUGUUCCUCCGGUAUUCGGGAGUUGCAUAAUCUCAUGGUCAGAGGAAUAUGUAUAAGUCAUGAAGAAAGCAACAUCAAUAAAACUAUACGAUCAUUAUGCUAAGCUAACGAAUGGGUCUUGUCCAUCACAUCAUUCUCUAAUGAUGUGAUCUUGUUUAUCAAAUGACAACACAUGUCUAUGGUUAGGAAACUUAACCAUCUUUGAGUAACGAGGUAGUUAAGUAGAUGCAUACUAGGGACACUCUGUUUGUCUAUGUAUUCACACAUGUACUAAGUUUCCGGUUAAUACAAUUCUAGCAUGAAUAAUAAACAUUUAUCAUGAUAUAAGGAAAUAUAAAUAACAACAUUAUUAUUGCCUCUAGGGCAUAUUUCCUUCAGAUGCCGCCGAAGCGCCCCAUCGGAGGGAGUGGCGACGCCGAGGCUGCUAAAGCAUUGGAGCACGGCAUGGAGAUGGAGACAGAGGUUACCGUCAGCGCUGGCGAGUUAUCGCUGCACCCUGACAUCGUCGACGGCGUCGAGCUUCCACAGCCGGAGGCGGAGUUCCACACCGACUCUGGUGACGACCCCGACUCCGACUCCGACAACGACUCCGAUGACCACUUCGGCAAUGACUCCGACGACUACGGCUAGCUGGUUAGUCAUCUAUACCCAUUUAUGUGUCAAAUAGAUCAUAGGGUUUCUCUGGUUACUCUUGCCUCCCCUGGUUUGGAAUAGAAAUCCUAUGGUUAUGUUCUCCCAAUCCAUGAAAUCUGAGUAAGUUUCGUUAGAUCCGCGUAGUGUAUUGAUUGUUUGAAUGGUACAAGUGAUAAGUGAUUAGUUGUUUCAUAUGUGCAAAUGAUUUCUGCUAGUAAUCCGACCAGGGUUAGUGUUCAUGCUUAUAAUUCCUAGCCAGGACUUGACAAUUGAUUUUGAAUGACCUGCAUAGGUUUGUGCCAUUAUUUUCUUCAAGAUUGGUCUGUACAUAGACGAAUGUGCUUAAAAAUCGAACCAUAAUCUCUGGAUAUGUAUAAAUAAAUAGUCAUAAAUUCCUAAUCCUACUUCACGACAUGUAAUCUUUGAUUUGAUGCCAAAUUUAUUUUACUAUUUGUAUAAGUGCUAUCUGACGAUGUGGACAACGAGGAUGAAGGUGUCCAGAGGAGGUACAAGAGGCAAAUUCUGAGGGAGCUUUAUGCGGGAAUGCAUAACAGGCGUAUUAGGACCUGGAACGGCGGCUAUCGACGCCCAUUUUGUAACCAGAAACUUCAUGACGCGUAUCUAAGUGUUCUAGCGCAUGCAAGAGGACGCGUCGUUGGCUCCUUCAAGCAGAAGUAUUCUCGCAUGGUGGCGCACAGCGCGUACGCCGAGUACCUGGAGAAGCUUCAGGAUCGUGCCGACAUGUGAGAUGAGAUGUGGGAUGGAUCGAACUAUGUACGCUUGAAUAUGCUUAAUGACGGUUGAACUAUGUACUUAUGGUUGAACUAUGCUUAUGUACGUGUACGCUUAUUAUCUAUGUCUGAGUAUGUUAAAUAUUUGGUCAAAAUUUGGUAAAAAUUACAAAGAGGGACCGAUAAACCAGGACGGAGGUAGUACGUCAAUCACACACGGUUCCCAAAAUUGGAACCAUGUGCAAUGACUUUCAUUUUGCAUGUUGCGUCAAUCACACAUGGUUCGCUCUAGCAAACCGUCACCCCAAAAAUUCUUUGUGGGACAGAAAACCAUCACCAUCCAAUUCAAAAAAAAACCCUCACCAUCCCCACAUCACAAAACCCCUCACCCCACAUGCCACCCCCUUCCGGUACGUUCCUCAUUCACACCUGCACAAGCUCCUCCGCGUCUAUGCCAUGGCACCGCCUAUUGCGGCGGUAAACACUUAGCUCGAUGCCUGGCGCUGCCGCCAGGCUGCCGGCAAAGCCCACCGCAUUUUGCCACUUCCGCUUGCCGCUGCCUAUCGCCAUCGACUUUCUUGAUGCUGCUCACAGUCGACCCAGCUCCGCUCGGUUGGGGAAUCUGCCGUACUUAGGGUUCUUUCUCAUGGAUGACAAGGUAACUAAUUUAAUGAGAUAUUAUCUCAUCUCUUAUUCCAGUUCAUCUGCCUCCUUUAAUCACCCGACGGAAAUUGCCGUGAAUUCAUUUUUAUUUGAGCUGAUUUGAGGGUUUUCUUUCAUUCAUAGAAUCUAAAGUGCGCCCACACUUCAAGACUUUGCGACCUCCACCAGAGAUUCCAUCUCAUCGUACCAGAUAACUUGAGGACGCGCGCGAUAUGUUCAAUCUCACCCUAAAUCGGUUGGCAUGACCUACUUUCCUGAACAUAUUCUAAAUAUUGCUACAUUUGGAUAAAAGGUGCCACAUGCACCAUAUACGUCAAAGGGGAUCCCCCCUCUUCUUGCUAUAUUAGGCAAAUUAAUGAUGUAUUGUUCUUUCGAUUACUCUCAUAUUUCCAUGACAUCAUGUUUACCCUAUCUGUUUAAUUAUAGAUUUUUGUCCUUCGAUUUCAACUGAUGUACAGUUCUUUCAAUUUGGGCCAUAUUUGCAUGUUACCAUAUUUUCUUUAACAAUCCUACCAUUUUCUAUAGCACAUCCCUUGCUACGCAACAGAUUAUGUAGUGCACAAUUUUUCCCUUUACAUAGAUCAAGGUUGCACGGAUGUCAUACUGCAUACAAACCAUGGAUUUACAAUAAUUGCUACCGUAAGACUUGAUGAACGUGGUGAUUCCUAUUUUGGUACUGGCUUUUGGAAAGAAAUUUCUAAGUUUUAUGUACUGAAAGAUGACACUAAAAUUGCACUGCACAUAAAAGGGCCUGGUCAUGAGAUAUAUGCUAACUUCCCCAACAAAAUCAUCCAUCCAGACUUUGUUCAAAGUAAGUUUUCUUUUCAAUUAUCUGCAUGUUGACUUACCCAGCAAUGUCAAAUGAAUUGUGUAGUAUUUAAGCAACCAAUUGUUAUUCCCUUUUCUUACUAUAUUCCUACAUAAUAACUUCUAGUUACCAAUACACUUUUCUAUUACCCUAUUUUAACUAAAUAUUCCAUGUACUCUCAUUUCUAUCAAAAAGCGCCGCUGACAAUGAGACCCUGGAGGUGGAGAACGAGGCUGCCAACAAGCGGAGGCGGGGCGAGCUAGAACCGUAAGCGACUCUAGCAGGCCUAGACUUCAUCAGCAGCCUCCCCGAUGAUAUGUUGAGAGUCAUCAUCUCCCUCCUCCCAAUCAAAUAUGGGGCGCGGACAAUCGUCCUUCCCAACGAUGGCGCCCCCUAUGGAACUCCAGCCCUCUCGAUCUCAUCGACACCCAUGAGCUCUGCCAUGGCUAUUGCAAAAGCUUGGAUGCAUUCUCCAAGAUCCUCUGCAGUCACCUUGGCCCAACCAAAGGCCUUAAAAUGGGCAAGUUCCGUUCCAACGGCAAGGACCGAGCCAAGCUUGACAACUGGUUCCGAUCACCCGCCCUAGAUCAGCUCAAGGAGCUCACUUUUGAUGAUGGGCAUAUGCGGUCGCUGCCAACGUCCACACUCCGCCUCGCGCCCACGUCGCGCGUCACCAAGUUCAGGAACUGCCAUUCCCUCCCCCCCCCGUUAAUGACGCGCACGCUCUUAUUCUAUCACGACUGAAGCACCUCGAGCUCGUCGUCGUCUGCCUCUCAAACGGUGACAUGGAUCGCCUGCUCCGUGGUUGUAUUGCACUCGAGUACCUUCGUCUUCAGGCAAUCAAUGGGUUGAGUACCUUCCACAUCACCUCCAUGACCCUCCGGACUAUUUAUGUGUGUUACUGGUGCGGCAGGAAGACAUCACAAGAUGUGUACCACGAUAUGGUCAUUGAGGACACGCCCACACUUGAGAGAUUACUUGUAGUUGAUCAAGAAGGUCCAACAAGAAUCAAUGUCAUUUCUGCGCUGAAAUUGACAGUGGUGGGCUAUUCGUCUAACAAAUACUCCGAACUUGUUAUUGGAUCCACACCCGUUCAGGUACAACAGCCGCCUUCUACCUCUUCUUCUACAAAUUAACAUUAUUUUUAAUUUUUAAGAUGUUUGUUAGUCUGUCAUUCAGAAAAUGAUUCCGACAAGCUUGACCCCGAAAUUGCGCACAAUGAAAGUCUUGGCACCAGAAUCUAUCGGCCCCAACCUAGAGCAAGUUGUCAGUUUCCUGAGAUACUUUCCAUUCCCGGAGAAGCUAUAUAUUGAGGUGAUGUGUCUUUCCUAUUAAAUGUUAACCAUAAGGGAGUUCAAUUUGUGACACCUUUUUCCAAGUUUACAAUGACAAUGUACUAUGAUUUCUGAAGGUUCUUUUGGACGAUUUCAGUACAUACAUGUCCCCCCCCAUAUUGGUUGCUUGAUCCAUAUGGUUACAAUCAAUAAGCAUUCCUCCUUUGGGUUCAUCUGUACUAGUUUUCUGAGGGAACUUUUCAUCCACUCCAACCUCUUGUGAAGAAGGCUACAUUUUUCUAGAAUGUAAUCAAAUGCCCAUGUUAAUCAUGUCAGGUCGAAGAUGGCAUGUUAGUGCAUUUUAUAAAUCCUACAAACCAAAUAGGUCUAUAGUAAUGUUCAAAACUGCAUGUAGGCACUAACACAUUUUCUUAUUUUGCAGAUAAGAUUAGGUCCAGUGGUGGAUAAUGUGAUACAAUAUAACAAUCAUGUCGAAUGGCUAGAUCCGCCUCUCUCAAAAAUUACUUUGAACUCAUACCGAGGGACCUCACCGGAGAUUAUAUUCGCUAGGUUCUUUGUUCUUAGAGCAAGGGUGCUGAAGGAAAUGAGGUUUGCCCUACAUUUAUUUCGUAAAAAUGAAUGGUUUGUUGAUCAGCGUCGGCGCCUGUGGCAGAAUGGAGUAGGCUCCAAAAAUGCAGAAUUUCAUUUUGGAACUUCGGAUGACAGAGUAAUCGGAAGUCAUCGUGUCAACCCUAUACAUGACUUCUCAGUGGCUGACCCCUUUGCAAAAAUUGUGAGAUUUCGAAACCAGACUUAGAAGCGGUGAUGUUAGUUUGAACCUCUCUGAUAUCCAUGUUCAGCGGAUCAGCGCGAGUGUUUACAACUGAUGAGCUGAAUUUCAUUUCUAAUAUCAGUCUGAACCUUGUAAUCUUCAAAUUUGAGCCAUAUAACUCUGGAAUUUGAACCUUGUAAUAUUUCGAGUUUUUGUGGUACAAUCGUUGAAAUGGCAUCAUAUGAGACUCAUAUAUUGCUAGCACUAUUUUGACCUCAAUAUGCAAUGGUCUUAGAUUUUAUUAUCCAUUCUCGAAUCUGUUUAUCUUGUCGAUCUCACAGCACACGAUAUGUAUAGCUAACUUGACUGCGAUCUUCGACAUUAUUGCAUGCAGUUGGUUUCUUCCACCAUGUGCAUUGUAGAGCACAGAAUUAAUUAUCGCACUCGAGUGUCCAUCAUCACACCCUUAUGUGUAAUUUUGACCUCAUCACUCAUGGGUAAACUUAUGACCGAAGUCAUUCCACACACUUCAUUUUUACAAAGCCUUUUGCCAAUAAAUGCCCAUGAUUUGUCCCUCUUCUAGCCGCAGUGUGGCCAAACUAGCCGGGCGGGAAGCUUGUGCGGUAAAUAGCGCGGUAGCGCGGGAACAGGCUCACCGACUAUACAUUUGGCGCCUCUUCGAGCCUAUGCUUGCGGUGCGGUGUUGUCAAGCGUGCACUGAAAUCCUCCGCUAUGAACGCCGUGACAAGACGUGACGAUUACAGGCCGGCCGGCCCCCAUUUAUUACAGCGGGCAUUUAACCCUUGUGUCUCUUCAACCUUUCGAUCGCUCACCACCAUUGCAAGAAGCACACUCACCAUGAGAAAUUCUUAGAGGGUAUCCCGCGCGGCUCCAAUGGCACUCCGAGCGGCUGCCGACGACGAGCAACAGUUCAACAUGUGUGCCGUGGUGGACACCCACAGAAGGUUCAUGGACCUCUCGGUGGUGUACACCAACGACCCGGUCUGGGUGGAGCACUUCAUCCACAUCAUGGAGCUGUUGCUUGCCGAGGAGAAGUACAAGGUGGUCGGGUUCGACCUCGAGUACACCCGUGCUCGUGCCGGGUCUCGUCCCAAGGUCGUCGUCGCCUAGAUGUGUGUGCGCCGCCAUGUCCUCGUCUACCACUACUGCCUGGGCACAAGUCCUUGCGAGCGUUUCGCUAGGUUUGUCAACAGCCCCCACUACAUGUUUGCUACGGUGGACAUCACCAACGAUGUAAAGGCGCUCGAGAAUUCGGGCAUCGCCUGCCAGAAUCUUGUCGACAUCUAGGGCCAAUACAAGAUCUGGGGCAGCAAGGAGCAUGAGAAGGACUCACUGGUUCACCUCGCCGAGGCCAUCAUCGACCCCUACUACAGAGACACGAAGGAUUCGUGCAACAAGGACAAGCGUGCCUGACACUCGGCCUGGAUGGAGAAACUCGACAAAGCUCACGUCGUGUAUGCGGCCAAGGAGGCAUACAUGAGCUACGAAAUGUACAUGCGGAUCGUUGACAUGAGGAAGUGCCUCCUUCCCCAAAAUGGUCAGGGAUCCAGCCGGAAGCAGAGCAAUGGCAAGUGUCGUUGCAACAAUAAGUAGAUGAUUAGAUCCUCGUUUCUCCUACUUUAGUAUGCAUUUAAUUGCUUACUUUGGUGCGUGGAAAUGUUAUGUGUGUAGUCAUUUGUGUAAUUGUAUACUUAAUUUGGUUAUGCAAUGUUGUUUUUGUAAGUAUAUAUGUUGAUGCUCUGUAGAGAGAGCGUAGAUGUUGUGCGGACAAAGAAAAUCACAUCGCACACGGACUAAACAAUGGAACCUAUUGGUGAUGUUUUCAUCAACCACUCACAAUUGUAUACCGGCAAUCGUUUGCUCACAACACACACGGCUUGUUAGUAGUAAUCGACUAUGUUGUUAUCGGUCUUCGCACACGUUUUCGAUUAUAGACCUGUUUGCCACGUAUCACACACAUCUUAUUAAGUUGAAUCGUUUCUGUUCUCAUGUCUUAACGCAAAUAGUUCAUCCGAGUGAACCGCAUGUCGUAUAUCGCACACACCUUGAUCUGGCUGACCGUUUCUUUUGUGUUGCCUAAUCAUAAACAGUUCUUCCGAGUGAACGUAUGUUGUACAUCGCACACACCUUCAUCUCGCUGCCCGUUUCUUUUGUGUUACCUAAUCAUAAAUAGUUAAUUGAGCUGAACCGUAUGCCUUGCAUCUCACACGCAACUAAAAUCUGAACCAUGUUUGAUGCAUCCUCAAUCGCAAACAUUUUGCACCUUUUUGACGGGUUUUUUACACCAUCGUUUGUGAUUAUGGCAUCGCACACAGUUUCGUCGAAGGGUCUCUGAUCGUACUGUCACGUUAGCAGCAUCCUGUAGUAGUGAUACCCUAUAUUUUAAUGCUCCGUCAGGUACAUGGGCGACAGCCGCAACUCCGUCUCCCGCGACUCCUCCAUGUCGGCCUCUGCAUCCAUCUCCGCUUCGACCUCCUUGAAGAGGGCGUCAGUUGCCGCCCGUUCCUGCCGGAUGAAUUGCCGGUUGGCCUCUAUAUAGGCCUCAUCCUGGAUGGACUCCAGAAUGGCCUGCUGCUCCGCCAUCUCGUCUGCUUGUGCAACGGCGAACUCCGCCUCCACGUCCUCCAUGUUGAAGCCCGAAGCCGCUCUUGCUUUAGCUGCUUAGGCUCGUCCACCUCCUUCUCCACCUCCAUCGGAGCCGGCUGCUGCUCCUUUCCCUCAUCCUCCUUUGCCCGCUCCUCCUCCUCCGGUUUCGGCAAGUUCGGAGGCAGCCCGACAGCGAUGCAGGCGGUGCGCGCGGUGCACCUCGCCCGGAUCUCCUGCUCGAUCUGGUACCGGCGCUCCGACGUGAACAUAUCGUAGGUGGUUAUCUUUUGCCAGACCAUGGAGAAGCUGGAGAGCAUGCGAAGAGCGACAGAGCGGGAGAGAGGAGGUGGAUGGGCUCAGGUAGGCGGCGGGAUAGGGUUGGGUGAUGCCAGCCGAAUUAAAUAGUCGGAUUUGGCCUCGGGCGGCGAGCCGAAGUAGAACCACACGUCGUUCACACCCCCACCGGAGGAGACGUCUGUCGGACCACCGGAUUUUCGGGCGAUUUCGUGUGGGACCUCGUCGUUAGUCCAAUGUGGCAGACGUGUCCGGGCGCCCUCAUAUCCGCCCCAUAUUUGGGUUGACUAUGAGGGGUGCCGUUCAGCUCAGAUGUUUAAGGCCCAUUUGAGGCGCCCGUGUCGGUCGAAUUUUCAUGACCGGACCGUCCGCCCGGGCAUCUGAGGCCAGUUUGGGGUGCCCGGAUGUAGAUAUAUCUUAAGACAAAACAGACGCAAACGCUCAUAUAUACGCGCACAUAUUCACCCCUAUGAACGCACAUACACGCAUCCUACCUCUAUUAGCACCUCGGAAAAGAUCGAGUCGGCAUAUUAUCUUAGAGAUUUUACGAAGUCACCGUAACGCCUGUAGUCAACUGAAAUGCCUUCCACUAAACAUGCAUCACCGAAAAUCCUGCAAUAAAUUCAAGAUAAAUGCCAACACUAAAAUUUAAAACCUAUGGGCUGAGGAGACCGCUGUUCACUAAAGCAAACAGCGGCAGGCCACCAUGCACCCGGUGGCGUCCGGAUCCAAAAUACGACGCCCCCCCUUCAAAAAAAAAAUACGACGCCCCGCACAGCACAGCACCGCACCGCACCGCAGCGAAAUUCUAAAUUUAAAUUUACUGGCGUUUAUUACUGAUCCAGUUAAGUAACCGCGGCAAUCCGCGUAUACAAUGACAUCUUCCGGAUCUCCUCCGUGGUUUAAUGAUAUUAAACUAGUGGGUGUUUUCAAGGAAUAUCUUAAUUUCAUUGAGAGUAGAAGUAGUAGGCCAGCGGUGCGGUGAAGGUUGGUGGCCGGCGGGCCCCGCCGACAAUCACCCGCCCCGCCACGUCGGAGCCCACGAGCAGAACGUUACGCGAAAGAGAAAAAGAAAAGAAAAGAAAAAAAAGAAAAGAAAAAAAAAGCGGAUGAGACGGGGAGAUGCCCGGGCCCGCGCGUGGGCCCCGCCCGCCCCCCACUGCCUGCCUGGAGACUUUCCCUCGUGCCCUUUUAACCCACCCGCAGCGACCGGUGCGCGCAGGCGCCACGUCAGCCGGGUGAAACCCUCCGCACUGUCCAGAUCAGGCCCAUCCACGCGUGGUGGUCCCCCGGGCCAAAGCCGAUCGAUGGCGUAGCGCCACUUCUUUAUUCUUUUCCUACUUGCUUUAUUUAUUUUGCGUGGAGUGUUAAGUUUUUUACUAGAGGAUAAAAAAAUUGGUUGGGGAAGGGAACAAAUGGGCGGGGCGUGGCGCCAUCACCCACCCACCCACCUGCUAUAGCCCGUGGACGGUUCGGGGACUCACCCCGCUCGGCUGCCCCGCCACGUGUCGGCCAUCGGGCCAUGCUUGUUGCGUAAGGAAGCGUCCACGAGAUUUUAUCGCGUGUUCCGUUGGGUGCUGGGCGGUGGGGGCGGCCACGGUGGCAGGCGCGGGGGCGGGGCCGUCGGAUGCGUGGGGCGGAUCCUGGCCGUCGGAUGCGGGCAUGGGCAGCGACAAAAAGAGGAUGAGGCCUAGAAAGCGAGCCACAAGGGGAGGGGAGGAGGCCACACCAGACCAGAGAAGCAGCAGCCAUUUCCUUCCAGCCGAGGGAGACGAGACGAGAGGAGAGCACUCUUCCCUCUAGGAGAGGAGUAGCAUCGUGAGAGAGAGGGAGAGGGAGGAGAUACUCGUGAGCGCGAGGGGAAGGAGAAGGACAAGGAGGGCGGGCUCUCUCGCUCUCUCCCGCUGCCUUGUCGAGGCGGUUGGUGCGUGGAUCUGCGCGGCGGCGGCGGUGCCUGCCGGACGCCGGCGACUAGGCGGGGAGAUCGGAGGCGCAUGCCUCAGAUCUGACAUGGAGCGGAUCCGGGAAGGAAGGAGGGCCGCACUGGCCAUGUCCGGCGGGGCGCCUCCGCCGCGGCGCCGGCUCAGGAGCAACGGCGGCGGCGUCUCCGGCGGCGCGGGGCCGAGGGACUCGCCUCGGUCCGAGAGGAGGCGGGGGGACCGCCUCAUGCUCAACGGCAACGGCCGCGACGACGGCGACGACACCUCCGACGACAGCCUCGGCGACGACGACGACGACCCCGACGAGGAGCUCGCCGCCUCCGCGCCCAGGUUCCCGUCGGUGCAGCGCCGGUCACCCAGCACGGCGCCUCCGCCGUCCCCGCCACAGCCUGGCGCCGCGCACCAUCACAGCAGCAGCAGCAGCGGCGGCGGCGGCGGCGGUUACAACAACCACCACCACCACGGCCCGCAGUCGAUGCACCGGAAGGGGGGCUCCAAUCCCAAGGGCCCCAUAGUGUGGAAGGCCGCCGACGAAAUGAUCGGCGUUCCAGUCCCGAGGAAGGCGCGCUCAGGUAUGCUAUGCACCGCAAAACAAGCAAAUUUCCACCCUUGUUGCCGCUUCUCUUUCCCUGAUCUCGACGGCGUUCCUCGUGUUUUCCGCAGCUUCUACCAAGAGGUCUUCGCACGAGUGGACAGGCCCCGGCGGUGGGAGCGGCGGCGGCGCCGCUGUAGACGGCUCGCAGAUCCAGCGGCCUUCUUCACGGCCGAUCUCGCCGGCUUCCACAUCGGCCACCGCCCCUGCUCGGAAAAAGCUGGUGCGUUUUUCAGGCCGACACAAUCCAUCUCCCCUCAUGAUUCCUUAAACUCUUGCCCUUACUGAUUUCCCUCUCUCCGGUGUCUCGCAGAAAACACUUGGCGGCGGUGGGAGCAGCGGCGGUUCUGGGCCUGUACCGAAGCAGCGGCCGUCGCCGGCUUCAGCUCCUUCGGCAGCCCCGCCUCAGCCGCCACCAGCAAAGAUUUCCAAGUCGCCAUCGUUCAUUCAGGAGGAGAUCGAGGUCGCCGAGGUGCUAUUUGGCCUGACGCGGCAGUUCCCCUGCCCUCCCAAGCAGGAGAACAUGAACCACAAGCCGGAGCCCAAGGACGCGCCGGAGGCCAAGUCCGGGAACUCUUCGCCGGCUCCGUCGUCAUCUGUCGUCCGGCCGGCAGAUUCAGCCUCUCUCACCACUAUAGGUGGGCAGCUCGUCAAUUUUGAUCUUACAAUGAUUUUUUGUUGCUAAUUUUGGUUUUGUGGGUCUAAUAAGCUUCCUCACUGCUUUUGCCAGCCCCAAAGAGGAAGCGGCCACGGCUCGCCAAGUACGACAACGAGAACCGCCCGGCGAGCCCAGCAAAACCGGACACGGCAGAGCCGCCCGCAAGGCCGGAAGUGCUUCCGGUGGCAAGAUCAGAUGCGAAGCCGUCCGUGUCGGCUGUGGCCGAAAGUGUCGCCAGCACCGCCGCCGCCGCCGCCACCGCUGGCGCGCAGCAGGAGGCUACCCGGGAGCCAGAGAAGAGGGAGGACCACAGAGGAAGAGAUCCAGAGCUCCGGGCCAGUGAAUCAGAUCGACGGGAUCCCGGGCCCGAGAGCAGCCGGGCCGAGCCGCCGGCAGCAGCAGUCAAGCCCGACGGCGAGGCUGCUGCGCCGGUCGGCUCUGAGGCCAGGAAUGGGGAGGCCACCACCGCGACAAAGAGGUGGGCCAUUUGGAUUUUUUAUAUUAUUGGUGUUGUGAUAACCAUUAUUGCCUUUGGAUUGUGCCGAUCUGAUUAGUAUAUUCACGAUUUCGCGUGAAUUGUUUUAUUUUUUUAUCAGUGAGCUGGCAUCCGAUGGCGCUCGGCAAGAAAAGUUUUGCAUUGAUCUCAUGGUGGGUAUAUGCUUUCAUGUGUGUGGUUGAAUUGGUCUUGCGGAAUUUGCUGGGCAAAGAUUGAAAACGACAAUUUUUUGCCGCAACUGUUGAUUGGCUUUUUUGUUUUCUUUUCAGCCCUUUUUUCAUCUCACCUUUUUCUCUCCCCUUGUGCUUGUUCCAGGCUCCCCCUCCUGGGAAGCUAUCUCCUGAUAGAGAUGGCUCUUCCGACCCUGAUGCGGAUAAGAAGGGAUUGGAUUCUGAGAUGGACGUGGUGGGUGCCUCUGUCUGCUUCAGUUUCACCAAUUCUGUUGAUUGACCUCCUUAGCGGCUGGAGCAUUGGAUGUUUGAUUCUGAUCGGUCCAUUUGUUGUUCAUCUUUUGCUGGGAUUUCAGGCCGGGAGAGGAAAUUCUGAAAAGAAAGAUGGCGAGAGGACCCGGAGAGGCCUGGAGAUCAAUCUGGAGGACGAGAAGGCGCAAAGGAUUCCGGCGGAGGAGCUUGCUCCAAAGAAGCUCACUCUGCAGCUUGAUUUGGAGAAGCCCAGCCAAGGGGACGAAAAGUCGCCAUCUGAGCGCAGACAGCCGCCAUUGCCGCCACCGCAGCAGCAGCAGCACAAGCCCUCAAAGUCCGAGGUCAAGCAUGAGAAAUCACGUAAGAAUUUCGCCUGGUUCUUCCCCAUUUUCUCACUGCUUUUGUAAAAGGUGAUUCUUUGUUGACUUGGGUUUUUCCUCAUCUGGCAGCUCUACCUGCUGCUUUACCCCCUAUGCCAAUGACCGUAGGCGGCUGGAUGGGGACUUUCCCACCUUUUAGGUGAGUUUUCACUGCUGUUCGAUGUUUUACACGCACUCUUGCUCCCUGAAGGAUUUGUGGUCUAAAAUCUGUUGUUUCUUACCUUGGCAGUUACAUUGCUCCUGUUCCUGGACUAUCAGCUCCUGGGCUUCAUCAUCCUAUGGACAUCAAGCCAGGGACUUCUGCUGGAUUACAGGUUCGCUUUCUCACUUAAGCUAUGGUGUGGUUUCUGUCUUUGGAGUGAAUUUCUUUGCCAAGUCUAAAGGUUUCCUAUAUUGCAGCAUCCUGCAUUGCCUCCACUGCCAGUACGCCCCAAGCGCUGCGCUACACAUUGUUACAUCGCACAGCAGAUCCAAUACCACCAGCGAAUUACAAAGAUGAACUCUUUCUGGCCCACAACAGCGGCUGCCGCUGCUGCUGCCGCCGCCACAAGAUCUGCACCAUUCUUUGGUCCAAGAGGACCAUUCAACAUGGGCGUCGUUCCACCUGCGGAGGCUGCCUCCCUUCUCGCGAACCCAAUGCAGGGGAGCUACCCUGUUCGGGCACACGCCCCGCUGCAAGAAACUAAGGCUCCUUCAAUGGUGCCUUCUCCUUUCCAGGGGAGCCUCUCCAAGGAUAAAGCGGCAUCCAGCAGUGCCAGUGUUGCUGAAUCAAACCAAAGGAAGCAACCUCCAGCUCUUGAAGCGCAGCAGUCCUCUCCCAUGCCACCAAACAUGAUGGUAUGCUUGUCGUGGAUUUAUGCUAUUCAUUACUAGUAUUUCUUAUGGUUCUUUUUGGUAAUUUUUUCCUUAUAUAAUUUCCCGUGCACCCUUUGUUUUUUACAGCAAGCGCCAACAUUCAUCUUUCCAUUCAACCAACAUGCUGCAGCAGUAGCAGCUGCAACUGCCGCUGCCAAUCGAAUGGGAGAUACAAAAUCUUCUGGCACCAGCAGUGCGAUGCCGUCAUCUGCCACUGCCCACGCUUCAGCAGCACACGCUGGCGCAUCGGCCAUGAACUUGAGCUUUGCCAACUUGCAGCCGGGUGAUGCCCAGUUCUUGGCCAUCUUACAGAACGGCUACCCAUUCCAGCUCGCUGCUGCUCAUGCUGGAGGAGCUCCAUCAUAUCGAGGCAUGGCACCACCAGGCCCAGGUGUACCGUAUUUCAACGGGCAUGUCUACUCUCCCCACAUGUUGAACCCAUCACAGCAGCAAGGUACGCAGCAACAAAAUCAUCAGAAAAACUCAAUGCCAAGCUUGUCUGGUUCCUCUCAGAAGCAUCAGCCACAACAAUCACAAGGGUUGCUGGGAUAUGCACCAAAUGCUAAUGCUGCUGCUGCCGCUGCCGCAGCUGCCGCAGCAGCCGCUGCCAACAGUUCCCAGAGCUAUUCGAGCGGCAACCAGCGUCCUGUUCUUCUACAUGGCCUCGCUCACCGACAGGAUCCAGACAAGACUCUGCAAGAUGGCCAGUCAAGUGAUGACAAGUCUUCACACCAUCAGAAGGGUGGGCAUGAACAUAAUUUUGCUAUUCCAAUGCAUCUUCCAAAUUUUGCGUUGAUGCCAUCUGCUGGGAAUCAGAGUGAGAAGAAAUCGAAUGAUCACCACCAGCAGCCACCAACCAGUCGAGGCCAGGGGGUUCGAAUUGAUCUUGCUUCAUCUCAGCCUUUUGUGAUGCCCUUUGGUUCCAUUGGCGCUCCUGGUUCUGCUCCAAAUGGUCUUGACUUCUCGUCAUUGGCACAGAACCAUGCGCUUUUCCAGAGCCAUCAAGAAGCAGGCCGGCAUGGUUACCCUCAGCUCAAUUUUGCUUCAGCCCAGUCUGUUCAAGGUGCACAGCAUAAACCCCAGCAUCAAAAUGCUGCAGAAGCUAAAUCUGUGGCUGGGGAUUCAUCUUCAACGCCAAGUGCUGGAGAUAAUGAGAGAAAGAAAUCUGCAUCUGCAAAGUACCCGAGUGAUUCACAGCAGCAUUCUCUUUCUUUCUCUAAGCCAGAAAACAAGUCUUUUAUGCACCCUUUCCUUGGUAGCAGUGCUAAUGAGCCCUCAGUCCGCACUUUGAGCCUUAUUGGUGCGGAAUCUUCGAAUGCCUUUGGGUUAGGCAGCAGCAAAUCUUCAAGUGCUUCUACUGCAGCAGCUACGUCAGCUGCAGCCCCAUCUGCACCGACCAUGUCCCAGCAGCAGCAACAGCAGCAAAUUCAGCUGCAGCUGCACCAACACCAUCAGCACCAGAUGCAGCAACAAUUCCAGCAGCAGCAACUCCAACAGCAGCAGCAACAGCAGCAACUCCAGCAGCAGCAGCAACAGCAGCAACUCCAGCAGCAGCAGCAACAGCAGCAGCAGCAACAACAACAGCAGCAGCACCAGCAACAUAUGUUACAGCUUCAGAAACAGCAGCAGCAACAGCAAUUGUUUCAAAAUCAUCUGAACUCUCGCCCCAGGUCUGCUGCUCCGAGUAAUGCAAGUGGAUACUCUGACCGUUUGAGUGCGACGAACUUCCAGAAUUUAAUGUAUCCAUCAAGCGCUUCUCAAGGCGGAGUUCCUGGUCAAUCACCUCAAUUGAAGGCAUCGUCGUCGAUGAGAGUGUCAGCUCCACCUUCAGCUGCUUCUGUCCCUGCUGCAUCCUCGCCUUCUAAUUUGAUUAUGAUGAAGAACAGUGGUCUCCAUCAACAAGCAAAAGCUCUGCAGGCUCUCUCCACCCCGAAUCACCAGUCACAAAGCAUGAGUUCGUCGAAGAUUGGCCACUCCCUUACUAAUCUUUCUACUGGAGGAGCAGGGGACCUAUCUCGAUCUUCAAAUGCUCCGGUUGCUUCUGGUUCGCCAUCUAACUCGGUCUCCAAAAGUACUGGUGGUAGCCCACCUGCAUCUGGAAGUGCGAAGGGUGGCCAGCCAGUUGUCCAAUUGUCAUCACCUCAACAACAUGCAGCAAAGAACUCUCCUUCAACUUCUGGAUCCAAGUCGGCUUCAACAAAUCCCUACAGCAGUAUGCCUAUGCCAUCGAUCCUUGGUCAGCAACCAAACAUGGCUCACUCUGGUGGUAAGCAGCAGUCACAUGGACCCUCAUUGAAACAACAGCAGGCGUUCCCACAAGGCCAUGGCCACGGCCAUUUCUUCAUCUCCAAUGCCUUUGCGCCACAAGGUCCGCCUCAGCAUGUAAAUGCUGGAGCUGGUGCUGGCCUCUACCAAAAGCGCUCGGCUGACAAGACGCAGCAGCAGCAGCAGCAGCAGCAGAAUGCUGUCUCUGGUUCGUCUGCGAUGCUCUCUCUUGGUUCCAUGUCGAUGUCCACAUCUGCGGUUCCAGCCGAUGCGGGGAAGGCUCAUAGUGCAGCUGGCAGUAACAUGAAGGCCAAUCUUCAUCCAGCGCCUGGUGGUUUUAUGCACCUUGCGACAGCGGGGCAAUCUGCGAGUGGUUCGCCUCACUCUCACCUUUCAGCGGCACAAUUGACGUUUUCAAUGCCAAUGCCCGUAAAGCCUACCAGUGAUCAGAAGCCUGCUGCUGGUAAUGGACCUCUAUCCAUACUUGUUUCCCCUGCAGACGUUGUUCCAUGUACCGCCACCAUAUAACUUGACUCAGUUGUUUCGACUAACAUAAAACCCUUGUGUUUGUCAGGUAAGUAAAGGACCUAGACGCCAGAGCAUGGGGAUGCUGCUAAUCUGAGUCGGCGAGCUAACUGCUAAUUCUGUCGGAAGCUCGGCGCGCGGAAGAAGCGAUUGCAUGGCAAGAGGCAUAGCUGCGAGAGCCGGAUCGUCGACGAGGAGGAUGAUGCACCCAUUCCAUCCAUUCAGGGGCUCUGGCAAAUCUGUGGAGUAAAACUGUGGAACGGCUGGCUGAUGGGAGUGAUACUUGUGUGUAGUAGGUUAUCCUCCCAUGGUGGAAAGCUGGAGGUGCAUAGAAACCCCUUUUUUUAGCAGUUUUAUGCAAGAUUGUCAAAAGCUGGUCUCUCUCUGAACUUCUCCCCUCCCCUCUCCUCUCCUCGAAGUGCUGCUCUGCUCUGGUCUGGUCUCUUUAGAUUUGUUCCUUUUGUUGUUGUCUUAACUGAAGGAAGAAGGUUUAAUUAGAAUGCAGGUCAAGGGAAACUUUUGUGAUGCUGCUGCUCUUGCCUUCCUCUUUUCUUUCUUUCUUUCUGUGUUUCUUUCCUUUUUUUUUCUCCAUGUGUUUUGUCAAUACUCAGAUCUGCUUGGAUUGUUUUAGAAACAAUUUGGGGCAGAGAGGGAAAUAUCUCUCAAGGAGUAGGAGUAGUAGUAGUAGUAUGUUGGAUUGUUUUAGAAACAACUGGGGCGGAGGCAGAGAGGCAGAUAAGUAGUACUAGUAGUUGUUGCAUAGCAUAGCAUGAGAGUGACCAUGACCUGCCUUUUGGGUGUGUGCGUUGUAAUUAGCUAGGUAGCCUUGUAGAAGAAAUGAAUCAAUCAAGGCGGUGGAUGGAUGGAUGGAUAAUCUUGUUAAGAUAGCAAAGCAGAGUAAUUCUGGCCUGUGUGAUGACUCGGCACUGCAGUGCUCACUCAUCCGAAAGUGCUACUCUUUCCGGUGCGCAGUCCGGCACGCCACUCUUCCACUCCGCCAUUUGUUAACUUGCCCGGACGGACGGACGGACGCGUGCUGCCGCUAUCUUCUUCCUAAUCGUACCAAUCUUCUAUUUAUAUCUAAUCUAUCUAUCUAUCUAUCUAUGACACUGGGGCUGGAUGAUGAUGAUCUCAUUCACAUGGAUCGCUCUCGGCCAUCACACGUGUCCGGCCUAACAGCCACCCGACGUGCAGGCUAAAAAGUAAAGUAUCUGGAAAAUUUUGCCUUGGCCGGGGGACAUCGCUUUCCUUUCGCUUGGCGCAAUGGCAUGGCGUUCCCUCCCUUUCCUGUCCGGAGUGGGUCUGCGCGCACGCACGCACGCACGGAGCCUUUGUCCAGAUGCACCGCCCCGGUUGUUGGUGACAUGUGAUUAAUCGCGUGCUGGAUUGAUUGUUUGUUUGUUUGGGUUAACCUGGCCUUUGCCUUUCUUUCCGGCACGCACUCAUGGCUCAUCCGUCCAUGGGAUGCCAUGCAGUAGGAGUAGGAGUACUGGUGGUAGUACUACUACCUCGCUGCGAUAUCGUGUGCAUACACACAUCAGGUGGCCCCAUGGCCUGUCAUUAUUGCCAAAAACUCUUGUCUUUGAUUGGGACGGGGAGAGAGGUGCGCCAGUGCUUGUUCUGUGCGUCCAGUUGUUGUUUUCGUCAGUAAAAUCUGGUGUCCCUGUCGCCGUCGUGACGUAGCACCGCCAGGCUGUUCUGCGAGUCGCCAGAGUUUACCGGCAACUGGAUUUGCAUGCCCACGCCGUUUGCGCGCUACGUGCGCCGGUCACAAGCGCCUGGGCUGGGUGGGCCACCCGUGCUCGCGCUGUGAACCUUGGGCGGGGCGGUGGAACUCCGGUGGGCGAAAACGGCGAAUGCUUGUUUGGUGAUCGUCGGCUUCAGAUACGAUCUACGGUCCAAGUAGGCAAAAAGCGUGGAGAUGGGAAAAGAUGCAGGAUUGAGCGUCCCCGAGAAGUGUUUGAUAGCACAUGAGAAGGCAAAGGAAUUCUACCAAGAGGUUUGAGUGCACUAAAAUUUCCUCCAACGUAGAGUAUGAGUGAAUCAUAGGGAUUUCAAUCACGUGAAUCGAACGACCAAUGCAGGAAAGUUUUUAAAGGAUCCAAAUCUUUUGAAAAUCCUACAAAUUUCAUUUGAAUCAAAGGAGCUCUCAAGGAAAUAGAGGCGGUAUGGUUCGCACAUGUCUGUUCAAGGAUAUUGGGAGAUCUAGAUCUCCGCGAGUGACGCUGCCGAACGAAGAGACUACCUGACUAAUAAAAAAUGCUACACAUAGAAGGGAACUACCAAUUGAGGAUACGAUGAACAUCCUUACUCUUCCAGGAAGAAGAAAGGAACUAACUAAGCAAUUUACAAUCUCUUAGAAUUUACAUAUAGAGGAGGCAUCACUGUCAUGUUACCAGCCAUCAGACCAAUAGGGAUAGAUUUUAGGAAAAGAGAGUGGGAGAGGAGACCCCAAGGUGUGAGAGGAUUGAGUGGUCCAAGAGGAUGUUAUGUUGGGUGGGGUAUCCAACAAGAGGACUCAUAUGUAUGUGAAGAGUGACCCUCCACUGUGGCCAAACAUCCCUCCGACAUCAGCCACUCGAUCUCUAUUAUCGAUGCCCCGUCUAUUCUAUUCUACAAACCCUCCAACUCCCCAUCAUCCACCCUCCCCUCCCAACCCCACUUAGAACCUCGGUACAUACGAGCUUUCAAUUCGGAUCUAAGAUAUUCUUUUCACUUUCAACUCGCUUUCUAUAAAAACAGUAGACAUAACAACUUUAACCAAUGUUUCUUGCUUAGAUCUAUAACUUUGCUUUCGGCACUUACCUCGAAAUAAUCCCCAGGGUCAUGAAGUGGGAUCAUACCAUCGGUGCUUACAUCUAAAACUUUGAAUCUCUCAAUCACCUGGAAAUAACCCUCACGGCCAUGAAGAGGAAGGACACCAUCGAUCCUUCGAUAUAGAACUUUGAAUGCGACAAUCACCUGGAAAUAACCCUCACGACCAUGAAGAGGAAGGACACCAUCGAUGCUUGGAUAUAGAACUUUGAAUCUGGCAAUCACUUGGAAAGAACCCCCACUAUCAUGAAGAGGAAGAACAACAUUAUUGGAAAUUCAGUUAAUAGUUGUUUUGAAGAAAUCUCUAAACUAUAAACUAUGAUGCUUAGAUCUAGAACUAUGAAUCCGGCAAUCACCUGGAAAUAACCCUCGCGGUCAUGGAGAGGGAGGACACCAUUGAUGCUUAGAUCUAGAACUUUGAGUCCAGCAAUCACCUGGAAAUAANNNNNNNNNNNNNNNNNNNNNNNNNNNNNNNNNNNNNNNNNNNNNNNNNNNNNNNNNNNNNNNNNNNNNNNNNNNNNNNNNNNNNNNNNNNNNNNNNNNNNNNNNNNNNNNNNNNNNNNNNNNNNNNNNNNNNNNNNNNNNNNNNNNNNNNNNNNNNNNNNNNNNNNNNNNNNNNNNNNNNNNNNNNNNNNNNNNNNNNNNNNNNNNNNNNNNNNNNNNNNNNNNNNNNNNNNNNNNNNNNNNNNNNNNNNNNNNNNNNNNNNNNNNNNNNNNNNNNNNNNNNNNNNNNNNNNNNNNNNNNNNNNNNNNNNNNNNNNNNNNNNNNNNNNNNNNNNNNNNNNNNNNNNNNNNNNNNNNNNNNNNNNNNNNNNNNNNNNNNNNNNNNNNNNNNNNNNNNNNNNNNNNNNNNNNNNNNNNNNNNNNNNNNNNNNNNNNNNNNNNNNNNNNNNNNNNNNNNNNNNNNNNNNNNNNNNNNNNNNNNNNNNNNNNNNNNNNNNNNNNNNNNNNNNNNNNNNNNNNNNNNNNNNNNNNNNNNNNNNNNNNNNNNNNNNNNNNNNNNNNNNNNNNNNNNNNNNNNNNNNNNNNNNNNNNNNNNNNNNNNNNNNNNNNNNNNNNNNNNNNNNNNNNNNNNNNNNNNNNNNNNNNNNNNNNNNNNNNNNNNNNNNNNNNNNNNNNNNNNNNNNNNNNNNNNNNNNNNNNNNNNNNNNNNNNNNNNNNNNNNNNNNNNNNNNNNNNNNNNNNNNNNNNNNNNNNNNNNNNNNNNNNNNNNNNNNNNNNNNNNNNNNNNNNNNNNNNNNNNNNNNNNNNNNNNNNNNNNNNNNNNNNNNNNNNNNNNNNNNNNNNNNNNNNNNNNNNNNNNNNNNNNNNNNNNNNNNNNNNNNNNNNNNNNNNNNNNNNNNNNNNNNNNNNNNNNNNNNNNNNNNNNNNNNNNNNNNNNNNNNNNNNNNNNNNNNNNNNNNNNNNNNNNNNNNNNNNNNNNNNNNNNNNNNNNNNNNNNNNNNNNNNNNNNNNNNNNNNNNNNNNNNNNNNNNNNNNNNNNNNNNNNNNNNNNNNNNNNNNNNNNNNNNNNNNNNNNNNNNNNNNNNNNNNNNNNNNNNNNNNGUCAUGAAGAUGAAGGACAUCCUUGAUGCUUAGAUCUAGAACUUUGAAUCCGACAAUCACCUGCAAAUAACCCUCAUGGUCAUGAAGAUGAAGG
RNAcentral lists this long non-coding RNA (26391 nucleotides) under Triticum aestivum (bread wheat). RNAcentral describes it as "long non-coding RNA (TAES_LNC020425)". Lineage: Eukaryota; Viridiplantae; Streptophyta; Magnoliopsida; Poales; Poaceae. The record is from RNAcentral.